This is a long non-coding RNA of Oncorhynchus keta (chum salmon), 876 nucleotides long. RefSeq lists it as uncharacterized. The record is from RefSeq and is a predicted model, not a curated record. The transcript has 6 exons. NCBI's taxonomy places the organism in Eukaryota, Metazoa, Chordata, Actinopteri, Salmoniformes, Salmonidae.
AAAACACACACACAGGAUACACACACAGGAUACUUGUAUCCGUAACAGUUCGCUUCUCCCUUUUCAAGAAUAACUUUCAACAAGAGUAAGUUUCAAAUGAUCAUCUGAGGCUGAGCAGUUGCCGUACCAGGCAGUAAUGCAACGAGUCAGGAUGCUCUCGAUGUUGCAGCUGUAGAAUCUUUUGAGGAUCUGGAUUCUUAUUUAGAUCAUCAGAGAUGUGUACGUCGAGGAACUUGAAGCUUUCCACCUGCUCCACUGUGGUCCCAUUGAUGUGGAUUGGGGUGUACUCCCUCUGCUGUUUCCUGAAGUCUACAAUCAGCUCCGUUGUUUUGUUGACAUUGAGUGAGAGCCCUCUGCAGUGGUGUAAUGGUGCCUGGAGAAGUAUACUCUCCUAAACGGCCCGCCCAGUGAAGGAAAAGGCACCCUCUAUCCACGUACGAUGCAAUCGCCAUUGCACUGCACACCGCCCUAUCCCCCAAGAGUUGGACUAGAGCUCUUUCAACACGAUAGCGCCCUCCAAGCUUGUCAGUAAGCUCAGGGUCCUGGGUCUGAACCACUCCCUGUGCAGCUGGGUACUUGACUUCCUGAUGGGCUGACCCCAGUACAUGAAGAUUUAUUAAAAAGACCCCUUGGCUAGUCUCCUUGGAGACGGCAGUUGGCCGUGUGCCACAGACGCAUGAUGACAACAGGAAUCACUGCCAAAUGACUACCGAUGAACAAACAAACCAACGGCAGAUGAGUGACCGAUGGGUGGUAGCGGCGGCCAUUUUCAGGACCUCCAGCAACAUAAACUAUAUCUCUAGGACUGAGCAUUUGGACAGGUGUGAGUGUAUGUGAAUGGUGUGAACACAGAGCUUCUGUUACAUUAAAAUCCAU